AGAGUUUGAUCAUGGCUCAGGAUGAACGCUGGCGGCGUGCCUAAUACAUGCAAGUCGAGCGAAUGGAUUGAGAGCUUGCUCUCAAGAAGUUAGCGGCGGACGGGUGAGUAACACGUGGGUAACCUGCCCAUAAGACUGGGAUAACUCCGGGAAACCGGGGCUAAUACCGGAUAACAUUUUGAACCGCAUGGUUCGAAAUUGAAAGGCGGCUUCGGCUGUCACUUAUGGAUGGACCCGCGUCGCAUUAGCUAGUUGGUGAGGUAACGGCUCACCAAGGCAACGAUGCGUAGCCGACCUGAGAGGGUGAUCGGCCACACUGGGACUGAGACACGGCCCAGACUCCUACGGGAGGCAGCAGUAGGGAAUCUUCCGCAAUGGACGAAAGUCUGACGGAGCAACGCCGCGUGAGUGAUGAAGGCUUUCGGGUCGUAAAACUCUGUUGUUAGGGAAGAACAAGUGCUAGUUGAAUAAGCUGGCACCUUGACGGUACCUAACCAGAAAGCCACGGCUAACUACGUGCCAGCAGCCGCGGUAAUACGUAGGUGGCAAGCGUUAUCCGGAAUUAUUGGGCGUAAAGCGCGCGCAGGUGGUUUCUUAAGUCUGAUGUGAAAGCCCACGGCUCAACCGUGGAGGGUCAUUGGAAACUGGGAGACUUGAGUGCAGAAGAGGAAAGUGGAAUUCCAUGUGUAGCGGUGAAAUGCGUAGAGAUAUGGAGGAACACCAGUGGCGAAGGCGACUUUCUGGUCUGUAACUGACACUGAGGCGCGAAAGCGUGGGGAGCAAACAGGAUUAGAUACCCUAGUAGUCC
Molecule: ribosomal RNA, 808 nt
Filed under: uncultured bacterium
Lineage: Bacteria
Description: bacterial SSU rRNA
Rfam family: Bacterial small subunit ribosomal RNA
Source: RNAcentral